This is a non-coding RNA of Sulfurihydrogenibium azorense Az-Fu1, 96 nucleotides long. It matches the Rfam family "Bacterial small signal recognition particle RNA". From Rfam's summary of the family: The signal recognition particle (SRP) is a universally conserved ribonucleoprotein involved in the co-translational targeting of proteins to membranes. Archaeal SRP consists of a 7S RNA and homologues of the eukaryotic SRP19 and SRP54 proteins. In most bacteria, the SRP consists of a 4.5S RNA and the Ffh protein (a homologue of the eukaryotic SRP54 protein). NCBI's taxonomy places the organism in Bacteria, Pseudomonadati, Aquificota, Aquificia, Aquificales, Hydrogenothermaceae. The record is from Rfam.
GUCGGGACCCUCCGGGUAGGAGACGGUGAACCUCCCCAGGUCCGGAAGGAAGCAAGGAUAAGCCGAACCUCCUAUGCCGGAGUAAGUCCCGUUAAU